Molecule: transfer RNA, 67 nt
Filed under: Marmota monax (woodchuck)
Lineage: Eukaryota; Metazoa; Chordata; Mammalia; Rodentia; Sciuridae
Description: tRNA.Ala
Source: RNAcentral
GGAUUGUGGCUCAGCGGUAGAGUGCUCGCCUAGCACGGGCGGGACCCGGGUUCGAUUCUCAGCACCA